UGGGCUGUGCAGAAGUGAAACCACCACAGAGCCGACUGCGAGAGGACAGAGAGGAGGAGACAGGCUGGCUGGAGAGCAGAGCCUUGCUGAGCCCCGGAGAAAAUGGUUUGAGUAAUUAUCAACGCCUGUCGCUACGUGGCCAGGAAGAUGAGGACCCUGUGCAGCCAGGAGCGCCAGGAGCCGCCACCCUGCCCGGCACAGGCAGCUCCCCGCAGCCACCACCGAAAUGUAAAGGCAUCAGCAGCCCCCCAAGCUGGAGCCUCGCUUCCCAGGAGCAGCACUCCCAUCCAAGAGCAGCCCUGCAAGUCCUGAGGGUAAAAGCCUUUGUGGUCCUCCCCUGAAGGCCACAAGCUUUCUUCCCACUGCUUUCCCCUGGGAAUCCUGCAACCCAGGGAUUGGGAAACGUUAGCAGUUCCCUCCUGUAUCUGCUCUCAACACAGAAGAACAGUGCUGGAAUGUCCUCACUGACCUCAUGGCAGCAGAAUUCUCUAGAUGGCAGGAAAACAAGAGAUUGCCAACGUGUAUCAGGUGCUCCUGGCACUUUUGGGCCAUGGAGCACCAGGGGAAGAGCAAGGAGCCAUUGCCUGCCAGCAGCAAAGCAGAUUUGUCUGCAGUGGAACCAGCUUGUGCUCCCACAGAUGCUGGUGUGGGUUUGCAUGAAGGCAAAAUCAGCUCCUGGGUUGGAGUGAGGAGCCUUAGAGCUCAGUUCUGUGGAAAUCCCAUGGCCAUGCUUUAGUCAUGAGGUCUGUGGUGCCAGGUUGGACUUGAUGAUCUUUGAGGUCUCUUCCAGCCUUGGUGAUUCUGUGAUUCUGUGAAGCUGUCCUCACUGGGCAGCCAGCACCCUGCUGUCACACAGCACCCACAGAGCAGAGGGCUGCAAGGACCACAGUGGAAUCCCCCCUCCAGCAAACCCCUCCCCAAUGUCACAGAGAGCAAUGACAGCAGAAUCACAAACCCUGCACCAGCAGGGAGGAAUCUGCUUGACCCCUUCCUGUGACAGCCCAGGCUGGGCCAGAAAUAAAGGUGGAUGG
Molecule: long non-coding RNA, 1031 nt
Organism: Dryobates pubescens (Downy woodpecker)
Lineage: Eukaryota; Metazoa; Chordata; Aves; Piciformes; Picidae
Exons: 3
Source: RefSeq, a predicted model, not a curated record